This 2161-nucleotide long non-coding RNA is filed under the name Zea mays. Its description in RNAcentral is "long non-coding RNA (ZMAY_LNC001245)". Lineage: Eukaryota; Viridiplantae; Streptophyta; Magnoliopsida; Poales; Poaceae. The record is from RNAcentral.
CACGAAACGGUAGCCACAUCUCCACAAGUUAAAAAAAGUGGGAGAAAAUGAGCGGUCCGAAAGCUUUAUCCUUUCAACUCUCAUGCUCCGCACUCCGCAGUUUUCCUGCUUGCUCGAGCUGCUGCCCUGCUGCUCCAGUGCUCCACAACCAGCCGGAGUGAGAGAAGCCGUCAAACACCUCGCUCUGUCGCCGCUCACCGUCAAAUACGUCGCUGCAACGCCAUCUGCGACCUCCGUCCUUCGCGCCUCUGGAGCCGUGGAGUCUGGCGUGGGUAAAUCUGGAUUUUGAAGGUAGCCAUAACUCUUUUUGUUGUUGAUUUUUUUCCUUAAUCCUUUAACUGAAAUUAUAUUUUUUUGGUUGUCAUCGAGAUCUCAGUUUUAGAGGUAUCCAUAGCUUUAGCUCUGUUGACAUUGCUAACAGUUAUAAGUCUUACAUUUGUUCGUGUAGUCUACUGCAACAAAAAAAAAAGGUUUUUAUCUUCAUAGAUGCUUGACACAUGCAUCGUGUCUCAGAUCUGCUAAAAGUCUUUGUUCUUGUCUGUUGAGUCUGAUCUUUUGUAGUGUGAAACAUUUUAAUUAGGUGGUAAUAAGAUGAGUCAUUGUAGUAAGAGUAGUGGACAUUUUAUACCUUCACCGGAAGCAACAGAACAUUCUGGUCUUUAUUGUGGAAGAAGUCCCCGUAUAAUGACGGACAUUCCUUCGAAUGCUAAUACCAAUCUUUCCAGCAUAAGCUUUGUAAAAGGCGUAUGCAUCUUGCUCAGAGUAAAAUCGCAUUCCACCCUUUGGCAACAUGUCUUCUGGGCCGUUGUUCAUUUGAGAUGCACCAAUUUCUUCAUGAGAUCCUAUAUUAUUCACGAAAACAAGUGAUUUCAAGUUAGGAUGAACAUAAGCAUGUUGUAUUAUAAUAGAAUCUGACAGAUAGAAUCACUACUUUUGUUAAAAAAAAGACAUUAUUUGGUUGAGAAUCUUACCUUUUCCAAUUCUCUUGUUGAUUCUAGGUUAUCUUCAAAAGUUGAUACGCCCUGCCAGCUAUGUGACCCGCCAUCAGGAGCAAUGAAACUUACAGGAUCAAUCACGUCUCCACUCGUCAUAGCAGUAUUGAAUAUGGGAUCUAAAUAGAAAAUUAUUUUAUUGUUGUUGUAUCAUGUGCGCCUGCCGCCGCUAGUGAAUAAAAAUUUAUUGUUGUGAUUGGAGAAAUUGUGGCGGGAAUGACAUCUUGACAUGUUGUUUGGUGCUAACUUGCCGCCAGAUUUGUUUUUGGAAAAAAAAGUGUCGUGGCCAGAAUGGCUGGUGAACGUGUGUGGAGAGAGAAAGGAGGGAUGAUCCAGUAUCUAGCACCACGGGUGGAGAAGUGGGCAUGGUAUGUAUAGAGAGUUAAGUGGGUCGUGCUAAAUAGGCCGGCGCAGUCACAAUUCAUAUAUUGUCAGUGCUGAUAUAAUAUGGAUCUAGUAUCGUACUUGGUCCUCCAUUCAAUACGAUGAGCUGGCACGAUUAAGUGGUCGGCAUAAUUAGGCAUGGCUUAAACCACUGGUAGUCUGUAGAUGUGAUUGUGAUAUAUACUUGCGAUUGUGUAUUGUGAUUUAUUAUGGUUUUAAACACAAUAAUUCACUUUAUAAUGAUAUACAUGUUCAAGUUCUAAAAUUGUACAUAAAAUCUUAAAGAUCUUCUAUGUUUUUUUGGGCUCUCAAAAUAAAAUAGUGCUUGGGCUGACUCGUGCAUUAUUAGGUGUUAGUGUCGUAUAACGUCGACACAGCAUAAUUAGGCACUAUAGUAUAGUGUCUGGGACAAUGACUAGGCACUAGUAUCGACACGACACGAUUACUAAUAGUGCCUAACAAUGUCGUGCCUAAUAGUGGUAGUACCAGUGUCGUGUCGGGCGACCCGUUUAGCCAUCUAUAACGGGAGGAUAGAAACAGGAGGAGAGAAGACGCAUCCGCCACGUCAUCCAAAUUCCACCCAUACUUUUCUUCUUCACGUAACAAUUCCCCCUAAGGCUUUAUUCGGUUAUUCUAAUUCCAUGCUGAUUAGAAUGUAUUGGGAUGAAAUGUGACUUGCUAUAAAUUUAAAUCGACCCAAUACUAUUCAAUUCAUAUGGAUUAAAAGGGAAACGAACAAGCCUCUCUAUAUCCCACCCCAACCAUAAUAUUCUUUUCCAAACAUA